AAGGGAAGAGGAGUAAGGGAGGGGAGGGGAAAAAAAGAAGACUGUUUACUGGCUUGAAAACACUUCAAACACCCGACGUGAUACACGGCACAACAAAACACAGAGCAAAAAAAUCCAUUUGCAUCUGCAAAAAUCAAGGCAGUGAAGCCUGAUGGGAGUGCAUGUCAAAAUGUUAUUAGAGAUGAAGUCAUUGCAAUCUCAAGCAGUUCUGCUAUGGAAGCUUCAAAUAAGCUCUAAGUGCUGUUGACUCUACAAGGGCCAGAUCCAAUUCCAACUUAAAAGAGAAGCAUCUAGUCACUGAGGCUUUCUGCUGGGGAUGUUUGCUCCUGCAUGGUCAGGCUUAAUAUCGUGAAGUCCAGACAGAAGACUACUGUAUUUAUGCAGCUGAUGUCGAGCUGCCUCUUGAAGACUGACUAUUAAAUUGGAAGAGCUGCAUUUGUUAUAGAGAAGUAGUGAUCUUGAGAGGUUUAAUGAUUUUUAUUUCCAAAAGAUUUCAUUACACACCUCCCAGGGCAAGCGAGCGGUACUCAACCUUUGGACUGAAUUCGGUGCUGGGGGAGCAGGUGCAACUUCUCCAGCAUUGGAUCGAGUUUCAUCCACCUACUGCAAGCCUCAGUUUAAUCCUAGUUACGACUUUGCUGAUAAUCAGAAUAUACUGCAACAGGAGCACUGUGGCUUGAAGCAGGGAACCAGCGUCCUGCCCGUGACCUAAUAGUUCAGAAAGCCACCCGCUUCCAGACUGACUCACAAUCACAGGAAGGUUUUGCUGCUGCAAUGAAGCUGUUCCAUUCUCAGCUGUCCACCCCAUCUCUCGGCUCGAGGCUGCCUCAUUCCCAAAGCUGCACAGUCAUUCCUUCAACUCCUCAGCUUACACCCCAGUAGGAUAUUGUGAAAUGAAAUUGGUAGCCAGCAGAAUCAAAUAACAUGCUAUGACCCGUGGAACGAAUAUACAUCUGUUCAUCUGCUCCUGCUCUUGAGAAAGAGCUGCUUGCUGAGGUGUGGCUAAGAGAUGAGGAUGGUAAUCGUUUCAGUUGCUGCAGUGAAAUCUACCUGCAGCUGUGAAUCAGAACCAUUUGUCUUGAACUUCAUUCUGUCUCAAGAAAGAAGCUGCCCAUGAAUUAAUCAGUUGUUUCAGCUCUUUAGGAUUCACACACUCCCUGGAUUUUAUGUCUCUUCACCUCUUCUAAACUGGCUGGAAAUGUCUUAAUAUGGGUGUGGAAACCCAAAGGCAGGUAAACCAGCUAAAAUCAGUCUCUAAAGAUGUUCUCCCACAAUAUCCCCAUAUGGUGGAUUAAUUAGUAUAACUCAGCUAAAAGAAUACCGAGUUCACAGAAUCACAGAACGGUUGAGGUUGGAAGGGACCUCUGGAGA
Molecule: non-coding RNA, 1371 nt
Organism: Struthio camelus australis
Lineage: Eukaryota; Metazoa; Chordata; Aves; Struthioniformes; Struthionidae
Source: RefSeq, a predicted model, not a curated record